UGCUGACGAGUGGCGGACGGGUGAGUAAUGCUUGGGAAUCUGGCUUAUGGAGGGGGAUAACUGUGGGAAACUGCAGCUAAUACCGCGUAUUCUCUGAGGAGGAAAGGGUGGGACCUUAGGGCCACCUGCCAUAAGAUGAGCCCAAGUGGGAUUAGGUAGUUGGUGGGGUAAAGGCCUACCAAGCCUGCGAUCUCUAGCUGGUCUGAGAGGAUGACCAGCCACACUAGAACUGAGACACGGUCCAGACUCCUACGGGAGGCAGCAGUGGGGAAUAUUGCGCAAUGGGGGGAACCCUGACGCAGCCAUGCCGCGUGAAUGAAGAAGGCCUUCGGGUUGUAAAGUUCUUUCGGUAAUGAGGAAGGGAUGUUGUUAAAUAGAUAGCAUCAUUGACGUUAAUUACAGAAGAAGCACCGGCUAACUCCGUGCCAGCAGCCGCGGUAAUACGGAGGGUGCGAGCGUUAAUCGGAAUAACUGGGCGUAAAGGGCACGCAGGCGGACUUUUAAGUGAGAUGUGAAAUCCCCGAGCUUAACUUGGGAACUGCAUUUCAGACUGGGAGUCUAGAGUACUUUAGGGAGGGGUAAAAUUCCCCGUGUAGCGGUGAAAUGCGUAGAGAUGUGGAGGAAUACCGA
This 630-nucleotide ribosomal RNA is filed under the name uncultured Pasteurella sp. RNAcentral's name for it is "bacterial SSU rRNA". It matches the Rfam family "Bacterial small subunit ribosomal RNA", at positions 86 to 712 of the family's 1533-position model. The record is from RNAcentral. Lineage: Bacteria; Pseudomonadati; Pseudomonadota; Gammaproteobacteria; Pasteurellales; Pasteurellaceae.